GGAGAUGUCGCCUAACUGGCAUGGCAGCACCCCGCUAAGGUGCCGGGAGAAAUCCUGUGAGCGUUCGAAUCGCUCCAUCUCCGCCA
RNAcentral lists this transfer RNA (86 nucleotides) under Acidobacteriota bacterium. RNAcentral's name for it is "tRNA-Ser". The record is from RNAcentral. Lineage: Bacteria; Pseudomonadati; Acidobacteriota.